AAGCCUGGGAAACUGGGUCUAAUACCGAAUAUGACCGCGCACUUCCUGGUGUGUGGUGGAAAGCUUUUGCGGUGUGGGAUGGGCCCGCGGCCUAUCAGCUUGUUGGUGGGGUAAUGGCCUACCAAGGCGACGACGGGUAGCCGGCCUGAGAGGGUGACCGGCCACACUGGGACUGAGAUACGGCCCAGACUCCUACGGGAGGCAGCAGUGGGGAAUAUUGCACAAUGGGCGCAAGCCUGAUGCAGCGACGCCGCGUGAGGGAUGACGGCCUUCGGGUUGUAAACCUCUUUCAAUAGGGACGAAGCGCAAGUGACGGUACCUAUAGAAGAAGGACCGGCCAACUACGUGCCAGCAGCCGCGGUAAUACGUAGGGUCCGAGCGUUGUCCGGAAUUACUGGGCGUAAAGAGCUCGUAGGUGGUUUGUCGCGUUGUUCGUGAAAACUCACAGCUUAACUGUGGGCGUGCGGGCGAUACGGGCAGACUAGAGUACUGCAGGGGAGACUGGAAUUCCUGGUGUAGCGGUGGAAUGCGCAGAUAUCAGGAGGAACACCGGUGGCGAAGGCGGGUCUCUGGGCAGUAACUGACGCUGAGGAGCGAAAGCGUGGGGAGCGAACAGGAUUAGAUA
This 625-nucleotide ribosomal RNA is filed under the name Mycobacterium sp. RNAcentral describes it as "bacterial SSU rRNA". It matches the Rfam family "Bacterial small subunit ribosomal RNA", at positions 145 to 784 of the family's 1533-position model. RNAcentral also lists the same sequence under 1 other name. Lineage: Bacteria; Bacillati; Actinomycetota; Actinomycetes; Mycobacteriales; Mycobacteriaceae. The record is from RNAcentral.